CACUCAUCAAUGAUUCAUUGACGAAGAACGCUUGGUGUUACGAUCGUGCACGAAAGCACCGUCCUAUAGCUUACCCUUAUAUUCUGAGGGUGAAAACCCUCACCAGGUUUCAUAACACGGAACAUCAUUCGCUGGUGGAUUUAAUCAGCGACCACGAUCUAGAAUCAGGAAAGAUUACAAGGACUACGAAGGACCUUGGUAAGGACUUGAAAAUGGAGGCUUGAAUAUCCUCGAUUAUUUACCAGGUGGACGUCACAUUACCGUCGGCUUAGGAUCGACGCGGUGAGCCGCGAAGUCGUCCCUGACAAGUCCUUGGGAGUUUGAGUCUGUUACGAGGCACAUAGGUAGUACCUAGAGGACCUCGCUGGACAAGAAUGACUAAAAGAAUAAAAAUGUCUACGUGGGAACGUCGUAUCAUCCGGAAGGAAUGCAAGCGGGCUUCCGCUUGAUUUCUCGCCCAGGACCAUCCCGAGG
Long non-coding RNA from Cephus cinctus (wheat stem sawfly), 474 nucleotides. RefSeq lists it as uncharacterized. The record is from RefSeq and is a predicted model, not a curated record. The transcript is spliced from 3 exons. NCBI's taxonomy places the organism in Eukaryota, Metazoa, Arthropoda, Insecta, Hymenoptera, Cephidae.